This 415-nucleotide ribosomal RNA is filed under the name Anolis morazani. Its description in RNAcentral is "partial 16S ribosomal RNA". It matches the Rfam family "Bacterial large subunit ribosomal RNA", at positions 1978 to 2594 of the family's 2925-position model. The record is from RNAcentral. Lineage: Eukaryota; Metazoa; Chordata; Lepidosauria; Squamata; Anolidae.
AAAUAAAGACCAGUAUGAAUGGCUAAAUGAAUAUUCAACUGUCUCCUUCAACUAAUCAGUGAAACUGAUCUUUCAGUACAAAAGCUGGAAUAUAAACAUAAGACGAGAAGACCCUGUGGAGCUUUAAAUUUUUAUCAGGGCUUGUAUAAAUAAUGCUUAUGGUAAAGAAUUUUUAGUUGGGGCGACUUUGGAGUAAAACACAACCUCCAAGAAAAGGCACCGCCUGAACAUGGCCCACAAGCCAAAACUAUGCGACCCAGUACCACUGAUCAACGAACCAAGUUACCCCAGGGAUAACAGCGCUAUCUUCUUCAAGAGUUCAUAUCGACAAGAAGGUUUACGACCUCGAUGUUGGAUCAGGACACCCAAAUGGUGUAGCCGCUAUUAAAGGUUCGUUUGUUCAACGAUUAACAGU